UACGGGGGGGGCAAGCGUUGUUCGGAAUUACUGGGCGUAAAGGGCUCGUAGGCGGCCAACUAAGUCAUACGUGAAAUCCCUCGGCUUAACCGGGGAACUGCGUCUGAUACUGGAUGGCUUGAGUUUGGGAGAGGGAUGCGGAAUUCCAGGUGUAGCGGUGAAAUGCGUAGAUAUCUGGAGGAACACCGGUGGCGAAGGCGGCAUCCUGGACCAAUACUGACACUGAGGAGCGAAAGCCAGGGGAGCAAACGGG
RNAcentral lists this ribosomal RNA (253 nucleotides) under uncultured bacterium. RNAcentral's name for it is "partial 16S ribosomal RNA". It matches the Rfam family "Bacterial small subunit ribosomal RNA", at positions 524 to 776 of the family's 1533-position model. The record is from RNAcentral.